RNAcentral lists this ribosomal RNA (480 nucleotides) under uncultured bacterium. Its description in RNAcentral is "partial 16S ribosomal RNA". It matches the Rfam family "Bacterial small subunit ribosomal RNA", at positions 28 to 523 of the family's 1533-position model. The record is from RNAcentral.
GACGAACGCUGGCGGCGUGCUUAACACAUGCAAGUCGAACGGAAAGGCCCUGCUUGCAGGGUACUCGAGUGGCGAACGGGUGAGUAACACGUGGGUGAUCUGCCCUGCACUUCGGGAUAUGCCUGGGAAACUGGGUCUAAUACCGGAUAGGAGCCAUUUUUAGUGUGAUGGUUGGAAAGUUUUUUCGGUGUAGGAUGAGCUCGCGGCCUAUCAGCUUGUUGGUGGGGUAAUGGCCUACCAAGGCGGCGACGGGUAGCCGGCCUGAGGGGGUGGACGGCCACAUUGGGACUGGGAUACGGCCCAGACUCCUACGGGAGGCAGCAGUGGGGAAUAUUGCACAAUGGGCGCAAGCCUGAUGCAGCGACGCCGCGUGGUGGAUGACGGCCUUCGGGUUGUAAACUCCUUUCGCUAGGGACGAAGCUUUUGUGACGGUACCUAGAUAAGAAGCACCGGCUAACUACGUGCCAGCAGCCGCCGCGG